Molecule: transfer RNA, 72 nt
Filed under: Camelus bactrianus (Bactrian camel)
Lineage: Eukaryota; Metazoa; Chordata; Mammalia; Artiodactyla; Camelidae
Also listed under: 2 other names
Rfam family: tRNA
About the family: Transfer RNA (tRNA) molecules are approximately 80 nucleotides in length. Their secondary structure includes four short double-helical elements and three loops (D, anti-codon, and T loops). Further hydrogen bonds mediate the characteristic L-shaped molecular structure. tRNAs have two regions of fundamental functional importance: the anti-codon, which is responsible for specific mRNA codon recognition, and the 3' end, to which the tRNAs corresponding amino acid is attached (by aminoacyl-tRNA synthetases). tRNAs cope with the degeneracy of the genetic code in two manners: having more than one tRNA (with a specific anti-codon) for a particular amino acid; and 'wobble' base-pairing, i.e. permitting non-standard base-pairing at the 3rd anti-codon position.
Source: Rfam by way of RNAcentral
GUGGGUAUAGCUCAGUGGUAGAGCAUGUUUUUAGCAUGCCUGAGGUCCUGGGUUCAAUCCCCAGUACUUCCA